AUGAACGCUGGCGGCGUGCCUAAUACAUGCAAGUCGAGCGAACAGAUAAGGAGCUUGCUCCUUUGACGUUAGCGGCGGACGGGUGAGUAACACGUGGAUAACCUACCUAUAAGACUGGGAUAACUUCGGGAAACCGGAGCUAAUACCGGAUAACAUAUUGAACCGCAUGGUUCAAUAGUGAAAGGCGGCUUUGCUGUCACUUAUAGAUGGAUCCGCGCCGUAUUAGCUAGUUGGUAAGGUAACGGCUUACCAAGGCAACGAUACGUAGCCGACCUGAGAGGGUGAUCGGCCACACUGGAACUGAGACACGGUCCAGACUCCUACGGGAGGCAGCAGUAGGGAAUCUUCCGCAAUGGGCGAAAGCCUGACGGAGCAACGCCGCGUGAGUGAUGAAGGUCUUCGGAUCGUAAAACUCUGUUAUCUGGGAAGAACAAAUGUGUAAGUAACUGUGCACAUCUUGACGGUACCUGAUCAGAAAGCCACGGCUAACUACGUG
RNAcentral lists this ribosomal RNA (496 nucleotides) under uncultured bacterium. Its description in RNAcentral is "partial 16S ribosomal RNA". It matches the Rfam family "Bacterial small subunit ribosomal RNA", at positions 29 to 507 of the family's 1533-position model. The record is from RNAcentral.